AGGAUCUUAAGUUAAUAAAACUAUUGACCUUCAAAGUCAAAAAUAAUACAAAUUAGAUCUUA
RNAcentral lists this transfer RNA (62 nucleotides) under Proasellus spelaeus. RNAcentral's name for it is "transfert RNA-W(TGA)". The record is from RNAcentral. Lineage: Eukaryota; Metazoa; Arthropoda; Malacostraca; Isopoda; Asellidae.